RNAcentral lists this microRNA precursor (181 nucleotides) under Cajanus cajan (pigeon pea). RNAcentral describes it as "miRNA gene-KK1_005353". The record is from RNAcentral. Lineage: Eukaryota; Viridiplantae; Streptophyta; Magnoliopsida; Fabales; Fabaceae.
GCAACAGAAAGAAGGAGCUCCCUUCAGUCCAAGCAACAGAUAAAGAGGGUUACCAAAUCUUCAUUCACACAAUAGCAAAACCUAUAGCUGAAUACUAUUGUAUGAAUGAAUCAUGUUAGUUCAGCAACCCAUUCUUUCAUCAUAUCUAUGAAUGGGCUGAGGGAAGCUCCUUCAUUCUCUU